RNAcentral lists this small RNA (107 nucleotides) under Marmota monax (woodchuck). Lineage: Eukaryota; Metazoa; Chordata; Mammalia; Rodentia; Sciuridae. The record is from RNAcentral.
ACUGGGCAUGGUGGCAUAUGCUUGUAAUCCCAGCUACUCAGGAAGUUGAGGCAGGAGGAUUGCCAGUCUGAAGCCAAUCUUAGCAACUUAACAAGAUCCUGUCUCAA